CCUACGAGAGGCAGCAGUGGGGAAUAUUGGGCAAUGGGCGCAAGCCUGACCCAGCAACGCCGCGUGAAGGAAGAAGGCUCUCGGGUUGUAAACUUCUUUUAUCAGGGACGAAGCAAGUGACGGUACCUGAUGAAUAAGCCACGGCUAACUACGUGCCAGCAGCCGCGGCAAUACGGAGGUGGCAAGCGUUAUCCGGAUGUACUGGGUGUAAAGGGCGUGUAGGCGGGAAAGCAAGUCAGAUGGGAAAACCAUGGGCUCAACCUGUGGCGUGCAUUUGAAACUGUCUUUCUUGAGUACUGGAGAGGCAGACGGAAUUCGUAGUGUAGCGGUGAAAUGCGUAGAUAUUAGGAGGAACACC
This 358-nucleotide ribosomal RNA is filed under the name uncultured bacterium. RNAcentral describes it as "partial 16S ribosomal RNA". It matches the Rfam family "Bacterial small subunit ribosomal RNA", at positions 338 to 710 of the family's 1533-position model. The record is from RNAcentral.